RNAcentral lists this ribosomal RNA (468 nucleotides) under uncultured bacterium. RNAcentral describes it as "partial 16S ribosomal RNA". It matches the Rfam family "Bacterial small subunit ribosomal RNA", at positions 28 to 507 of the family's 1533-position model. The record is from RNAcentral.
GACGAACGCUGACGGCGUGCUUAACACAUGCAAGUCGAACGGAAAGGCCCUGCUUUUGUGGGGUGCUCGAGUGGCGAACGGGUGAGUAACACGUGAGUAACCUGCCCUUGACUUUGGGAUAACUUCAGGAAGCUGGGGCUAAUACCGGAUAGGAGCUCCUGCUGCAUGGUGGGGGUUGGAAAGUUUCGGCGGUUGGGGAUGGACUCGCGGCUUAUCAGCUUGUUGGUGGGGUAGUGGCUUACCAAGGCUUUGACGGGUAGCCGGCCUGAGAGGGUGACCGGCCACAUUGGGACUGAGAUACGGCCCAGACUCCUACGGGAGGCAGCAGUGGGGAAUAUUGCACAAUGGGCGGAAGCCUGAUGCAGCAACGCCGCGUGCGGGAUGACGGCCUUCGGGUUGUAAACCGCUUUCGCCUGUGACGAAGCGUGAGUGACGGUAAUGGGUAAAGAAGCACCGGCUAACUACGUG